AGCGGCGGACGGGUGAGUAAUGCCUGGGAAAUUGCCCUGAUGUGGGGGAUAACCAUUGGAAACGAUGGCUAAUACCGCAUAAUAGCUUCGGCUCAAAGAGGGGGACCUUCGGGCCUCUCGCGUCAGGAUAUGCCCAGGUGGGAUUAGCUAGUUGGUGAGGUAAGGGCUCACCAAGGCGACGAUCCCUAGCUGGUCUGAGAGGAUGAUCAGCCACACUGGAACUGAGACACGGUCCAGACUCCUACGGGAGGCAGCAGUGGGGAAUAUUGCACAAUGGGCGCAAGCCUGAUGCAGCCAUGCCGCGUGUAUGAAGAAGGCCUUCGGGUUGUAAAGUACUUUCAGCAGUGAGGAAGGCAGGUACGUUAAUAGCGUGCUUGUUUGACGUUAGCUGCAGAAGAAGCACCGGCUAACUCCGUGCCAGCAGCCGCGGUAAUACGGAGGGUGCGAGCGUUAAUCGGAAUUACUGGGCGUAAAGCGCAUGCAGGUGGUUUGUUAAGUCAGAUGUGAAAGCCCGGGGCUCAACCUCGGAAUUGCAUUUGAAACUGGCAGA
RNAcentral lists this ribosomal RNA (550 nucleotides) under uncultured bacterium. RNAcentral describes it as "bacterial SSU rRNA". It matches the Rfam family "Bacterial small subunit ribosomal RNA", at positions 94 to 640 of the family's 1533-position model. The record is from RNAcentral.